CNNNANNUGCNNGUCGAGCGGACAGAAGGGAGCUUGCUCCCGGAUGUUAGCGGCGGACGGGUGAGUAACACGUGGGUAACCUGCCUGUAAGACUGGGAUAACUCCGGGAAACCGGAGCUAAUACCGGAUAGUUCCUUGAACCGCAUGGUUCAAGGAUGAAAGACGGUUUCGGCUGUCACUUACAGAUGGACCCGCGGCGCAUUAGCUAGUUGGUGAGGUAACGGCUCACCAAGGCGACGAUGCGUAGCCGACCUGAGAGGGUGAUCGGCCACACUGGGACUGAGACACGGCCCAGACUCCUACGGGAGGCAGCAGUAGGGAAUCUUCCGCAAUGGACGAAAGUCUGACGGAGCAACGCCGCGUGAGUGAUGAAGGUUUUCGGAUCGUAAAGCUCUGUUGUUAGGGAAGAACAAGUGCAAGAGUAACUGCUUGCACCUUGACGGUACCUAACCAGAAAGCCACGGCUAACUACGUGCCAGCAGCCGCGGUAAUACGUAGGUGGCAAGCGUUGUCCGGAAUUAUUGGGCGUAAAGGGCUCGCAGGCGGUUUCUUAAGUCUGAUGUGAAAGCCCCCGGCUCAACCGGGGAGGGUCAUUGGAAACUGGGAAACUUGAGUGCAGAAGAGGAGAGUGGAAUUCCACGUGUAGCGGUGAAAUGCGUAGAGAUGUGGAGGAACACCAGUGGCGAAGGCGACUCUCUGGUCUGUAACUGACGCUGANGAGCGAAAGCGUGGGGAGCGAACAGGAUUAGAUACCCUGGUAGUCCACGCCGUAAACGAUGAGUGCUAAGUGUUAGGGGGUUUCCGCCCCUUAGUGCUGCAGCUAACGCAUUAAGCACUCCGCCUGGGGGAGUACGGUCGCAAGA
RNAcentral lists this ribosomal RNA (863 nucleotides) under Bacillus aerophilus. Its description in RNAcentral is "bacterial SSU rRNA". It matches the Rfam family "Bacterial small subunit ribosomal RNA", at positions 49 to 893 of the family's 1533-position model. Lineage: Bacteria; Bacillati; Bacillota; Bacilli; Caryophanales; Bacillaceae. The record is from RNAcentral.